Molecule: long non-coding RNA, 540 nt
Organism: Oncorhynchus tshawytscha (Chinook salmon)
Lineage: Eukaryota; Metazoa; Chordata; Actinopteri; Salmoniformes; Salmonidae
Exons: 3
Source: RefSeq, a predicted model, not a curated record
CGACACGCCUUGAAUUGCAAUAGAGGCUCGCGCUUUGAGCUUGAACUUGACUGUCGGAAUGUGCCUCGUGGGAACAGGCCAGAGUUUGCCCCCUCCUUUCAUGAUGCACAAUUUGGUGUCAACUCGAAUUAUCAUAAAACCCAGCCUGCUUCAAAUUAAGGGACGAGAGGUGCUGAGAGCUAGUCUCUCUCACAUCCAAGGCUGGGGAAGAAUUAAGAGCUCCCUCGGUGAAGAAGCUCACUUGGGUGACUUUCAGACGUAACAACAGUUUUUCUACAGUGAACUACGUUAUUUUGGACACAGUUAAAUUAAAUGUUGCAGUUGAACUGCAACAUCACUCCACCUGAAAACACCAUACACUGCAACAUCCCUGCACCUGAAGACACCAUACACUGCAACAUCCCUGCACCUGAAGACACCAUACACUGCAACAUCCCUGCACCUGAAGACACCAUACACUGCAACAUCCCUGCACCUGAAGACACCAUACACUGCAACAUCCCUGCACCUGAAGACACCAUACACUGCAACAUCACUGCA